AUACGGGAGGCAGCAGUGAGGAAUAUUGCGCAAUGGGGGAAACCCUGACGCAGCGACGUCGUGUGAGGGAAGAAGGCUUUCGGGUCGUAAACCUCUGUCAGAAGGGAAGAAACGUCAGGAUUCGAAUAGGGUCCUGGCCUGACGGUACCUUCAAAGGAAGCGCCGGCUAACUCCGUGCCAGCAGCCGCGGUAAUACGGAGGGCGCGAGCGUUAAUCGGAAUCACUGGGCGUAAAGCGUGCGUAGGCGGUUUGAUAAGUCAGACGUGAAAUCCCUCGGCUCAACCGGGGAACUGCGUUUGAAACUGUUAGACUCGAGUCCUGGAGAGGGUGGCGGAAUUCCUGGUGUAGGAGUGAAAUCCGUAGAUAUCAGGAGGAACACCGGUGGCGAAGGCGGCCACCUGGACAGGUACUGACGCUGAGGCACGAAAGCGUGGGGAGCAAACAGGAUUAGAUACCCUUGUAGUCU
This 466-nucleotide ribosomal RNA is filed under the name uncultured bacterium. Its description in RNAcentral is "bacterial SSU rRNA". It matches the Rfam family "Bacterial small subunit ribosomal RNA", at positions 339 to 796 of the family's 1533-position model. The record is from RNAcentral.